UCUAGGGUUUCCCAGAAGAAUUACUCAUUAUAUCCCCUAUAUAGUGCAGCCAGAAACGAGUUCCUCAUUGAAAAUCUUCCGCCGCCCCUCCCGAUUACCCAAGCCCUCAAUUCGCAAAUUCUCCAAUUCCACAAUUUGUCAUCGUCCACUCUCGCGUCCUGUUGCAUGCGUGUCUGUGCUUGAAUCUCUAUCAUCCUCUCUCUGCAUUUGUUUCUCAUAAUCUUCAACUUUCUAUUUUUAUAUUUUACAGUAAAGCUAUUGCGCAAUCAUGUGAUGAGGAAAAAACUGCAACAAUAUGAUGGAUUUGUUCCGUGAUUCGUUGUAUUUAAGUCUCUGAUGAUUUCUUCAUUUCUUCUGAAGUUCUAUCUUGCUUCGAUUUGAUUUUUUUUUUUGUUUAUUUGAUCUGACGAAUGCUUCUCAUAUUGGAGACAUGAUGAUAACCCUUUAUUGGUCCUUGUUUCAGAAUUUACCAUGACCGAUAAAUCUCUACCAAACUCUGAUCUCUCCCAGAUUAAUCUAUCAGAUCCUUCUCGAAAAUCUGUUUUAUUUUAUUUUAUUUUAUUUUAUUUUAUCACUAGUAGCAAUGGCUCAAUGAUUGCAAGCCUAUUUGGCCGUAUACGCUAUUCCGAAUUUAGAUGAUAGACAUCUUUAGAUUUAUGAGAGCUGCUACUAAUGCCAGUAUAUUUUCAUUUGGAAUCUACAGAGAAUGUUUUUCUUAGUUUCAAAAUAAUUGCAAUAAAAUUAGUGCUACAUUGAUUUAA
Malania oleifera is the source of this 761-nucleotide long non-coding RNA. RefSeq lists it as uncharacterized. NCBI's taxonomy places the organism in Eukaryota, Viridiplantae, Streptophyta, Magnoliopsida, Santalales, Ximeniaceae. The record is from RefSeq and is a predicted model, not a curated record. The transcript is spliced from 2 exons.